UAAAGCGCACGCAGGCGGUCUGUCAAGUCGGAUGUGAAAUCCCCGGGCUCAACCUGGGAACUGCAUUCGAAACUGGCAGGCUUGAGUCUUGUAGAGGGGGGUAGAAUUCCAGGUGUAGCGGUGAAAUGCGUAGAGAUCUGGAGGAAUACCGGUGGCGAAGGCGGCCCCCUGGACAAAGACUGACGCUCAGGUGCGAAAGCGUGGGGAGCAAACAGGAUUAGAUACCCUGGUAGUCCACGCCGUAAACGAUGUCUACUUGGAGGUUGUGCCCUUGAGGCGUGGCUUCCGGAGCUAACGCGUUAAGUAGACCGCCUGGGGAGUACGGCCGCAAGGUUAAAACUCAAAUGAAUUGACGGGGGCCCGCACAAGCGGUGGAGCAUGUGGUUUAAUUCGAUGCAACGCGAAGAACCUUACCUGGUCUUGACAUCCACGGAAGUUUUCAGAGAUGAGAAUGUGCCUUCGGGAACCGUGAGACAGGUGCU
RNAcentral lists this ribosomal RNA (482 nucleotides) under Salmonella enterica subsp. enterica serovar Paratyphi B. RNAcentral's name for it is "bacterial SSU rRNA". It matches the Rfam family "Bacterial small subunit ribosomal RNA", at positions 561 to 1042 of the family's 1533-position model. Lineage: Bacteria; Pseudomonadati; Pseudomonadota; Gammaproteobacteria; Enterobacterales; Enterobacteriaceae. The record is from RNAcentral.